CCUACGGGAGGCAGCAGUAGGGAAUCUUCCACAAUGGGCGAAAGCCUGAUGGAGCAACGCCGCGUGGGUGAAGAAGGUCUUCGGAUCGUAAAACCCUGUUGUUAGAGAAGAAAGUGCGUGAGAGUAACUGUUCACGUUUCGACGGUAUCUAACCAGAAAGCCACGGCUAACUAGGUGCCAGCAGCCGCGGUAAUACGUAGGUGGCAAGCGUUAUCCGGAUUUAUUGGGCGUAAAGGGAACGCAGGCGGUCUUUUACGUCUGAUGUGAAAGCCUUCGGCUUAACCGGAGUAGUGCAUUGGAAACUGGGAGACUGGAGUGCAGAAGAGGAGAGUGGAACUCCAUGAGUAGCGGUGAAAUGCGUAGAUAUAUGGAAGAACACCAGUGGCGAAAGCGGCUCUCUGGUCUGUAACUGACGCUGAGGUUCGAAAGCGUGGGUAGCAAACAGGAUUAGAUACCCCUGUAGUC
RNAcentral lists this ribosomal RNA (465 nucleotides) under uncultured bacterium. RNAcentral's name for it is "partial 16S ribosomal RNA". It matches the Rfam family "Bacterial small subunit ribosomal RNA", at positions 338 to 795 of the family's 1533-position model. The record is from RNAcentral.